Molecule: ribosomal RNA, 501 nt
Filed under: uncultured bacterium
Lineage: Bacteria
Description: partial 16S ribosomal RNA
Rfam family: Bacterial small subunit ribosomal RNA
Source: RNAcentral
AUUGAACGCUGGCGGCAGGCUUAACACAUGCAAGUCGAGCGGAGAUGAGGUGCUUGCACCUUAUCUUAGCGGCGGACGGGUGAGUAAUGCUUAGGAAUCUGCCUAUUAGUGGGGGACAACAUUCCGAAAGGAAUGCUAAUACCGCAUACGUCCUACGGGAGAAAGCAGGGGAUCUUCGGACCUUGCGCUAAUAGAUGAGCCUAAGUCGGAUUAGCUAGGUGGUGGGGUAAAGGCCUACCAAGGCGACGAUCUGUAGCGGGUCUGAGAGGAUGAUCCGCCACACUGGGGCUGAGACACGGCCCAGACUCCUACGGGAGGCAGCAGUGGGGAAUAUUGGACAAUGGGGGAAACCCUGAUCCAGCCAUGCCGCGUGUGUGAAGAAGGCCUUAUGGUUGUAAAGCACUUUAAGCGAGGAGGAGGCUACUGAGACUAAUACUCUUGGAUAGUGGACGUUACUCGCAGAAUAAGCACCGGCUAACUCUGUGCCAGCCGCCGCAGUAA